GCUGCUCGGGCACACCACCGAAACCAGAGCGCACUAGGGCAUGGCGCUGGGCUGCGCUCGCUGCCUGGCUGGGGCCGGGCUAGAGGCGGACACCUGUGCAAUCCGCCCGGGAUUCCCUGACCCACAAGGCGGACUAAACCCCCUGCUGCAGCCGGGGGAGGGGGCCGCGCUAUUUCCGACACGCAGCCCCGUUAUUCACCCGAGGGGAAGAGCCGCCGGGCAGCGACCCCUACCGCCCGCAGCCGGCCAGCGCACCCCGGCUCCAACCUUCUGGUCCCCCCCUCCCGGCCCUCCAGUCCGCCCACAAUCACUUCAGCCGCCGAGUCCUGAGGGAGGCGGCAGGAACCAGCCAUCCCCAGCUGCAGCAGAGCAGCAGCCCGCGCACACUGAAACCAGCCCCUUAGUGAUCUGUCAGCCUGCUGGUGACAAACCUGUGGCUUGUGCGGUUUCCAGCACCGAGGAAAAGCGCUAGAAAGGAAACAGAAGAGCAAGGGAACGUGCAGCCUGUUUCUGUCCCAGCUUGUUGCUCGGGUACAAAUAGGCAAACACCCUGCUUCUCCGUUUGGGGCCCUUCCCCCCAAAGCUAUUUCUUACACGUGAGUGCUUCUUACUAGAAAGAAGCACAAAAUAAAGAGCUGACGUUGCAGCCCCAGAAAGGCGGGGCAAACCAGCGGCAUAAAUAACCGUCUGUUAUAAAUAUUAAACACCAGGCUUCUCUAGUGAUAUUUUUAAAAAAAACCCUCAACUGAAACAAUCAUUACUGAGUUGUCAUCUUAUGUGUAAAUAACCAUAUUUAAACGUGUUAGUGGACAACCCCUGUUAUAAUACUAUUUAUCCUUGGCUGCAUGGACAAAAAAAUACCCACAACACGGUAAAACAUAGUAGAGAGCCAUGUUUUAACCAUGGCAGAAAUGUAGGCUAAAGCAUGGCUCUCUGAAAUGUUUAUAACAUUUUCCAUCCACAUAAGUAAUAUAUAAUAAACCAUAUUAUAAUGUGUUUUGCCCCAUGGAUGGGCCUGGUUCUCAUUUAUACUCAACACUGCUCUGAUAGUGCACGGGAAUCUUAAGGUGGAUGGAAAUUACAAUCAGUCCUGGAUGUCUCUGGAGAAUACUGGUACUAACAACAGGGUUCUUGCAGGAAUAUAUUUCAUCUCACCAAGGUAACUCGGGUGAGUUGAACUGUCCUUUAUCAGAGGACCCAGAAUGUUAGAUUUAGGCUCUCAGCAAUGGGACCCACCUGUAGGAACUUUCAGAGAAUGUGUCCAGUCACUGCAUCUCUGUAACUGUUGCCAGAACUCAUCACAAGUCCUUCCUGUUUAGAUGAGCGUAAUCAUCACCAUUUACAUUUCCAGGGUUCCCAUUUGCCAGUAUGCACAGUGUGGUUGGGGCUGCAAUGAGGAUCUGCAGUUAGGGAGCUGGACUUCGUUUCAGAUUUAAUGUAGCUAGUAGGUGUAUUUUUGCUUGUGGGUGUUUAUAUAAAUAAAUAUAAAGACUUUGUUAUUUCAAAAGUCAGGAGAAUCCAAAUGAAAACUAAAACACACUUUAACAAACAAAUAAAAAAAAAUCAGUAAGCUCCUGCCAACACCAUCAGUUCUGUUAAACGAGUAAAGAAACUUUCGUUGUUAAGAGGGAGAUUUAGGUUCUGUUUAUUAUUCAUUAGGAAGUUUGUUUUCUCUUUGGCACUGUUUGGGAGUAUGAAAUGGCCCGGAGGAAUGUGUGACCUCUCCUACCUGUCUGCAUCGGGGCCAGGCCUUGCUGCUGGAAACCACUUACUUAGUUCAGUGUGUAACUGAUUUGUCUUAUCUGCUUAUUUUUUCCCUAUGGAGAGAAUAUAAAAGGGGGCAGGGGGAAGAUACAUAUGCUUUCACAAAUAUCAUAGCAGUUCCAUUGACCUAUUUAGGGCCUAUGUUCUCCCCUUCAUUAAGGCAACCAGAGGGAGCAGAAAGUGGCAGAACUGGGUGGGGCCCAUAGAAGAGGGGAAGGAUAGGGGUGAGUCAGCAGCUAGGGUUGAAGCUCUGAAGAAUAGCAAGCCAGGGUAGCAUCACUAUUUCCUUAUCAGCCCAGCAGAAAUCUAUAGAAGUCUUAAGCUGCUGCAAGCAUUAUUAAUACCAGCUUCAUGCUUGCAACCUUGUUUGCACAGGCACAAAGUGCUGUGAAAAGAGCAAAUGGCAGCACAGCUUGCACAGGAAGAAGGCCCAGCCAUCACCAGUGAGAAGAUGACUCCCCAUAGACCCACAGGGUACAUCUACAUGACCAAAAAAAAAAAAAAAAAACCCUCCGGCAGCAUAUCUCAGUACUUGGGUCUACCGACUUGGGCUCAUGCUACAGCUAAAAAUAGCAUUGUAGGCAUUCCCACUCAGGCUCCGAGACCCAUCCCCUUUGCCAGGUUUCAGAGGGCAAGUCCACAUCCCAAUGGGAACAUUGUUUUUAGUUUAGCGCCGUAGCAUAAGCCUUGCAAGCCCAAAUCUGUAGACUUGGGCUCUGAGACUUGCAGCAGUGGGUGAUUUUUUGCAGCGUAGACACACCCACAGUUUCCUCUCCGCACAGAGCUUUAGAAUCCCCAUGGUUUAAAGGCAUCACUGCUUCUCCGUAGCCUCCCACCCCAAAUCUCUCACUUCUGAGGGUAUCUACACACACACACACACACACACAAUCUUCUGACUCGGAGCCUGAGCUAGUUUAUCCAGCUGAGAGUUGUAGGUUAGAGCCAGAGCUCCACUGUAACUUGGGUUGGAACCCACCCACUUUGUAGUAAGGAUUCAGGCUACAAGUGCUGAUAAUCUUCCAAUGCCUUCCCAUUCCCACCCCCUCACCCCACAAAGGACAAGUUCUACAGCAGUUAACACAAUUGACUGGGAAAGAAUCCUAGAGUGUCUCCGCAAUAAGAAUCAUGGGAUAUGCCCCCAGACACACACACACGUGAUGCAGAAACAAUGAGGACACAGUGAUGCAAUUAGCACUUUGCAAUGGGGAUGCUCACCCCCAUGCUAGACUAACCUGGGUGCUCAAAUCUAGGCGCCAAGCACCCAGGUUAACUGUGCAGUAUAGGCAUAACUUCGGGGGAGCAUAAGGAAACUGUUAGGCAAACCUUUCAGAGUUUUCUUGGUCUUCUAUUCUGCAUCUACAAAUAUGCAUAAGGGAUAAGAUGUGGACCAAGAUUCGGAGAGUACGCAACACUAGAAACUAUGACAUACAAGGUGAAAUCCUGGUUCCAUUGACUUCAAGAGGGUCAAGCUUUCACCUACACUACCCUGUUAUUGGAAAUACAAAUAUGGAAUGUGUAUUAUAGGUAAUUGCUGGUUUUGAUUGUAAUCAUGAAGACUCACUGUACUUCAAAAUAUCUGACUGAAGUUUAAUUUUAUGAUUAAAUGUUAUUUUAAAUAUA
This is a long non-coding RNA of Malaclemys terrapin pileata, 3384 nucleotides long. RefSeq lists it as uncharacterized. NCBI's taxonomy places the organism in Eukaryota, Metazoa, Chordata, Testudines, Emydidae. The transcript is spliced from 2 exons. The record is from RefSeq and is a predicted model, not a curated record.